Long non-coding RNA from Vigna unguiculata (cowpea), 437 nucleotides. RefSeq lists it as uncharacterized. The record is from RefSeq and is a predicted model, not a curated record. Lineage: Eukaryota; Viridiplantae; Streptophyta; Magnoliopsida; Fabales; Fabaceae.
CUUUCUCUUGAUGCGAGCUUAUAAAAAGGGCUUGUUCCCUCAGUCUCUUUGUGAACAUUUUUCUCGACAGUACUAAGAUUAAGGUUCUCAUCUCACUCAUGUCAUUGUUUGGUCUUCGAGUGUUUGAAGGUUUGGAACAAGAUUUGCAUGGUGAUUGAGCAAUGAAUAGAAGUCGAUGAAGCUGUAAUGCAAAGCAUGACUCCGACAAAAUAAACUGAUGUGAAAGAAUAUUGUCAAUGAAAGAUUUAAUGGCACUUCAUUUGCUUGGUGGGGGAGAUUGAAGGACGCAAAUUACUUUUUUUUUUCUUUGUUAAUUAUUUUCUAAUUGUAAUUUUUGAUUUAUGUAUUAUAAAUGUAUAAAUGUAAGUCAGUAGUCAUUUUAUAAGUUAUUGCUAUUGUUUCAUUAUUACUUUCAAUGUAUUAAAUUCCUUGUGUAA